AUAGUUCAUGCUGCAUCAAGAGAUAAGUCAUUACAACAAGAAAAUCAAAUUGAAUCUGGGUGUGGGUAGUUCACAGUUCACAACUAGCUGCGCUCUUCUGUACAUUCACCAGGUGCUGAACAGAGAGACAGGCCAGUUCGCCGAAUUAUCGCCUGGAAUAGUGCGAUGUUUGCUCAGCCGCGGGUGCUUUGUGUUCAGUGUCCGAGCUCCUUUCACAGGGCGGGACACUAAACGCCUGCAUCUCGAUGCCGACGUCGACACAGCAGUCCUCCACGCCGAGGUCAGCUGUUGGUGGCAUGCACCUUUUCAACACAAGUCCACCCACUCGCUUCAGUUUCCUCCAUCAACUCAUGCAAAACCUGAAAGGUUUAUCAAAGACAUCAUAUGUACAUACACAUGACAGGAAAAUUGCUGCAGCUAUUUGGGGCAUUGUAGACUAAUUGAAGCACACACCUGACAGGUGCUCUCUGAUCUUAUGCCAUUGCUUUCAGGGAUCGGCCCAGAGGUAUCACCAAAAGCUACUAAAUUUUAGUAUCUAGGUGCAAUUUUUGGUGCCUCACUAGGUAUAAUAUUUGAUUUGGUUCCAAAUGAAUUGCCA
This 598-nucleotide long non-coding RNA is filed under the name Setaria italica (foxtail millet). RNAcentral describes it as "long non-coding RNA (SITA_LNC006100)". Lineage: Eukaryota; Viridiplantae; Streptophyta; Magnoliopsida; Poales; Poaceae. The record is from RNAcentral.